RNAcentral lists this long non-coding RNA (1122 nucleotides) under Phoenix dactylifera (date palm). Its description in RNAcentral is "long non-coding RNA (PDAC_LNC001177)". The record is from RNAcentral. Lineage: Eukaryota; Viridiplantae; Streptophyta; Magnoliopsida; Arecales; Arecaceae.
UCUUCUCCUUCUCUGCCAUCAUCUUCUGUGUAAGGUGGUGGCUUUUGCUACAAAACCUAGUCCCUUCUGUUCCUCCUUACCCUUCUCCUUUAAGAAGAAUCUCUUUCUCAGCCCCCCGAGCUCCUCCACCUCCAUCUCUGAUGAGAUGGAGGAGCUCAGACCUGUAGAACAACCCCUAUCUCCUAGAUACAUCUUUAAUGCUGACUGUCCUCAGAAACGGAAGACUAACCGAAGAUCGCGGCCUCACAUCAGCCUCGUACGUGACGGGGUUGCGCUGAGGUGAUGGAGUCCAGGUAGGUAUAGAAAACCAACAACUUUGUUUCUCUAUUAGUGGAUGUUUCUUUUUUGUUGCUUCUUUAGUUUGAUCACCUUGUGGUCUAUGGCACUUGAGAUCUCUUUCUUCUUUUCAGUCUCCUUUCUCCACUAGUUUCGUUGCUUUAUAUCGUGCCAUGCAACACACUACGUAUGGUUACGAUGAUGAUCUCAUUUAGCUAGAUCUUGAUACAUUUUGAUGUAUCAACUGCGGUGGGAGAACAUGAAAGUGUAUUCCUUUUUUUUUCUUGGUCUGUAUGUAGCUAAUAAUGAAUAUUUCCAUUUUAUUUUCCUUUUGGAUCAUUAUCAUUCAUUGUACUUGUUUUAUGUUGGAACAAGUGUUGAACGUCUUCCUUAAUUUAUUUCUGUUUUGCCGCAAAAGCUUGGUCGCAUCUUUGAGGACCAAUGACGGUGUGCCUCAGUGCUUGUGGCCGCGGCUGGAUCAUGGAAAGAAACUGCAUCUCAGCUCCUGUUGUGUCCACUGGGAUGCAAGUCAAGACUUCUAAUGCCAUCACCAGGUGAUGCCGCUCACGGGGAAGCUCAAAGGGAAGAAGGCUCGAAGCAGAUUUGUAACAGGAGCACACCAGAUGGGAGGAAAAGUGAAUGCCCAUUUGGUGCGAAAGAAGCAAAGAAGUUCCCUGAGAGCGCUAAAGGAGGUUGACUAAAUGAUUGCUCGUUUAUGUCAGAUUUUGUAGAAGACUCAUUUAUUGUAAAAGAACAAAAGCAGUUCCUGUUAAUGUUAACAUUAAUUAUAGAGGAUAAGGAUGUAAAUGAAAAUUCCUUUACAAGCUUGUCGUUUCUUCUUCUUGA